GCGGCGGACGGGUGAGUAAUGCUUAGGAAUCUGCCUAUUAGUGGGGGACAACAUUCCGAAAGGAAUGCUAAUACCGCAUACGCCCUACGGGGGAAAGCAGGGGAUCUUCGGACCUUGCGCUAAUAGAUGAGCCUAAGUCAGAUUAGCUAGUUGGUGGGGUAAAGGCCUACCAAGGCGACGAUCUGUAGCGGGUCUGAGAGGAUGAUCCGCCACACUGGGACUGAGACACGGCCCAGACUCCUACGGGAGGCAGCAGUGGGGAAUAUUGGACAAUGGGCGAAAGCCUGAUCCAGCCAUGCCGCGUGUGUGAAGAAGGCCUUUUGGUUGUAAAGCACUUUAAGCGAGGAGGAGGCUACUUGGAUUAAUACUCUAGGAUAGUGGACGUUACUCGCAGAAUAAGCACCGGCUAACUCUGUGCCAGCAGCCGCGGUAAUACAGAGGGUGCGAGCGUUAAUCGGAUUUACUGGGCGUAAAGCGUGCGUAGGCGGCUUUUUAAGUCGGAUGUGAAAUCCCUGAGCUUAACUUAGGAAUUGCAUUCGAUACUGGGAAGCUAGAGUAUGGGAGAGGAUGGUAGAAUUCCAGGUGUAGCGGUGAAAUGCGUAGAGAUCUGGAGGAAUACCGAUGGCGAAGGCAGCCAUCUGGCCUAAUACUGACGCUGAGGUACGAAAGCAUGGGGAGCAAACAGGAUUAGAUACCCUGGUAGUCCAUGCCGUAAACGAUGUCUACUAGCCGUUGGGGCCUUUGAGGCUUUAGUGGCGCAGCUAACGCGAUAAGUAGACCGCCUGGGGAGUACGGUCGCAAGACUAAAACUCAAAUGAAUUGACGGGGGCCCGCACAAGCGGUGGAGCAUGUGGUUUAAUUCGAUGCAACGCGAAGAACCUUACCUGGUCUUGACAUAGUAAGAACUUUCCAGAGAUGGAUUGGUGCCUUCGGGAACUUACAUA
Molecule: ribosomal RNA, 944 nt
Filed under: Acinetobacter sp.
Lineage: Bacteria; Pseudomonadati; Pseudomonadota; Gammaproteobacteria; Moraxellales; Moraxellaceae
Description: bacterial SSU rRNA
Rfam family: Bacterial small subunit ribosomal RNA
Source: RNAcentral